AAGAAGUUAGUCCAACUAAGACUACCGAUUUCGACUCGGUCAAUUGUGAUUAUAACCACAACUUCUUA
RNAcentral lists this transfer RNA (68 nucleotides) under Boulengerula taitana (Taita Mountains caecilian). Its description in RNAcentral is "tRNA-Arg". Lineage: Eukaryota; Metazoa; Chordata; Amphibia; Gymnophiona; Herpelidae. The record is from RNAcentral.